This 23-nucleotide small nuclear RNA is filed under the name Arabidopsis thaliana (thale cress). Its description in RNAcentral is "snRNA_12201". Lineage: Eukaryota; Viridiplantae; Streptophyta; Magnoliopsida; Brassicales; Brassicaceae. The record is from RNAcentral.
ACAUCGCACAAAAUAGAGAGUAA